GAUCGAACCUGCAUCUUCAUGGAUUCUAGUCAGGUUUGUUAAUCGCUGAGCCAUGAAGGGAACUCCCACAUUUUCUACACUAAAGAGACAACAUUAUUUUUUGCCUUUUAAUGGGAAAUUUCAAACUUAAACAACAAUACAGAGAAUAGUACAGUGAGCCUCCAUGUACCUGUCAUUCCAUUUCAACAACUAUCAAGCAAAGUUAAAAAAAUUUUUUUAAAGUGCAAUCACCCACAAACUGUUGUGCCCAAAGCACCUGGAGCUAAUUACUAUGGUUCUUCAUAAAGGAUUUCUCCUAUUUUCUCUUGAAAAAUAUUUUGUUUCCAUUGCCCAAAUCCUGUUUCCCAAACAUGGGCUUAGUCACGAAAAAAUUUUUGUUAGAGAAAGCUCAAAGCAUUUCAAAGUCAUUAAUGAAAACAGUAAGUCGAUAAUGCGAAUUUUAAAUUUUUUUAUCAAAGUAAAAGCCACAUCUCUGCUUUCUGGCAGUUUAUCACUGUUUUUCUGAAUGUAUAAAUAAGAAGCUUAUGAACAAAGAGACCCAAAAAGUGUUGUAGCCGGUUGUGUGAGGUCUUUGCAUCUCCUUCUUCAUCUAGUUUAGGGAUUAGUCAUAAUCUGGGAAAACACAUUUAAGUACAAGGGUCCAUAGACUCUGCCAUCAGUUUGGGAAGCACUUUCAUUCUUGAACUCAUAAUCUGCAAUACAGAAUGUGUUGUACAGAUGCUGAUGAGGAGUUUUUAGAAGUUAAGAGCCAUGUCUGCUCCAAAGAAUGAUGCACUGCCCUGAAAAAACAGACUCCCACGAGUUUAAAUAUUUUCCCCACUGACAAAUAAAAGACACAAAGAGGUGCAACAUCUGCGAUCUAGUAUGGUUAUAACAAAAAACCUUUCUUCCGGACUCCUGGAUUUGUACCAGUUUUAAAGGAACAUCUCCACAGUAUGUUAGAGGAAGUGUGUGCAUUUUGAUGGGCUAACCUGUCUGGUGAACUUUAAAUGUGUGCUUUUUUUUUUUUUUAAAUCCUAGAUAACUUACUUUUGGAAAGUAGAAAAUUGUUUAUUUCUUUUAUUUCCAUAAGACCCAAAUACUUGUGCUUCUAAUGCACUCAGUAGAGCUGGACUAUAAAAAUAAUAAAUGUGUGACAACAUGAGUAUAAACAUAAUAAAUGUCAUGCUUUCACAUGGCAAAUUGUCAAUAUCUAUUGACAUUUGUUCUUAUGGCAUCUAUUAAGGCCAUACCAUAUUUAUUAACUCUGGUUUGAUUACACUGCUCCAUUAACUUGGUAAUUUCAUUAUAGUCUAAGAGGGAUUUUAGCUGCUGAAUUAGUUUAAAUUUUAUGCACAAGCUCAGAAGUCCUUGGGCAGUGAACACAUUUCACAUAUAUAUAAUAAAUAAUUAAUGAAUAAAAGCUCUUUGAGAGAAUCAGACAACAAUUAAAUCAGGAUCAGAUAACUUUUUUUAAUAAAACAAACUGAGAAAUUGCUCAUAGAUGUUAUAGUCAUAAACUGUGUCAGGUAUGCUCCUAAGGCUUGUUAGUAAUAUACUUUGCGGGAGAGAAUAACUUUAUCAGAGGGAAACAUACUUAAAUCUAGAAAUAAAUAUUAAGCCCACCUGGAUUGUGUGAAGCGAUAAAGGAAGAGGUGUAGAAGGUACUAGGCUGAGUAAAUUUGUUUCUGAACUAAUUUUAAACAUGAUAUUGCAGAAAUUUGAUGAGAAAUGUGUUCCACAUCUGAUAAAUCCCACAAAAGUAGCCAAAAGGACCAGGUAAGAGAUGAUAUACUGGCUGAGGUCUUUGUGACUGAGCAGGACCCUAUAGGGCCUUCCCAGGGCAGACCUCUCCUCCAACCUCAGCUGUAUCUUCUCUUUGAGGCACCUAGAUAAGACCACCUGAUGUGUAUUUCCUGAGUUGUUUUACAGGGGCUAAAACCCCACCAAAUGGAAGGAAUUAACUUGAUGACCAUGAGAUCAAAGAACCCUGAAGGAUUAAUUGAUCCUGUACUGUUACACCACCAUCAACCAAUCAGAACAUGUGCUCAUCACUUGCCUUGGGAGGCCCCACCCUCACCUAGCCUUUAAAAGUGCCUUGCUUGUGCUGAGAAUUCUGGUUUUUCCCAGUUUGAGCUGUCCUAGGCUCUGAAUCUGGUAUCAUACAAUAAAUGCUGCUCUUUCUUUUACCACAACCUUGUGUCUGUAGCCCCCCUGUGUACUGCAUGUGGCCAAGUGAACCCAAGUUUGUUUCAGUAACAAUUUUGGUGUCCACCUGAGGGGUGUGGUACCCAAUGGACCUCUUCCCCUCCCAUCCAGCUGCUACCUGCGCUUCUUGGCCUGGAGGACGUCCCUGAGUGUUUGCCACCACCCAGGUGUCACAGGCCCACAGAUUCUUUUGAUAUUUGUGGUGAAAGAAACAAGGAACAUACAUCAGCCUGCUGAGACAUCUUUGGCAAUGAUGUAUUUUAACAAACCCGGGACUGGCAGUCCCAGCAACCAUCAGUCCACUCUCUACAUUACUCCAGGAGGGGAUGGGAAACACCAGAUCAGUCCCACUGACAAAAUAUUCCUGACAUCAUUGUUCCUAACAAAUGCUGUGUUCUUCGUCAUCUCCUGGGACACAAACUGAGUCAGAGAGUAAAACUAAAGUUACGAAGGAUUGGAGACAAGAUGGCAGAGUAAAAGGACUCUGAGCUCACCUCUUUUCAUGAGAACACCAAAAUCAUAUCGAACAGCUGAAUAACCAUCAAUAAAAAAAGACUGGAAUGCACCAAAAAAAAAAAAAAAAGAUUUUCUAUAUCCAAAGGCCUAAAGAAGAAACCACAAAAUGAUAGGAGUGCACUCAUGAUAUAAUCAAAUCUCAUACCUGCCAGGUGGGUGAGCCACAAACUGGAGAUGAUUAUGUCACAAAAGUUCUCCAAUAUGACUGAGAGCUUUGAGCCCCCACCAUACUCCCUAGCCAAUAUGAGUGAGAGCUUUGAGCCCCACCAGGCUCAUGAGGAGGACCCUCAGAGCAUUUGGCAUUGAAGGUCAGCAGAACUUGGCAACAGGAGCUCCUCAGGAGUGGGGGAAACAGACUCCACUCUUAGAGGGCACACACAAGGUCUAAUGCACAUUCAGACCCACGACAGAAGCAGUGACUACAUGGGACCCCAGGCAAGACAUACCUACUUGUAAGUCUUGGGGAGGCCUGGUGCAGCUACUGGUCUCUCCAUGGUCAUACUAGUGGCAGACACGGUGGAGACCUCUGUCUAUUCUGGGCGAAGUCAGAUAUUUUGGGUUCUUGGGACCCAAGACCUGGCCUUGCCCAGCAGCAAUUACGUUCCAGUUCUGGGACACCUCAGGUCAAACAAGCAAUAGGGUGGGAACACAGCCCCACCCACCAGUAGAUAAGCUGCCUAAAGACUUUCUCAGCCCACAGCCACCUCUAAACAUGCCCCUAGAUGCAACCUUGCUCACUGGAAGGCCAAGACCCAGCUCUACCCACCAGUGGACAGGCACCACUCCUUCCUGUUAGGAAGCCUGCACAAGCUUCUAGACUAACCUCACCCACCAGGGGGCAGACAGCAAAAGCAAGAAAAUAUAAUCCUCUAGCCUGUAGAACUGAGUCUGAAAACAGAGGUCCAAACCUACUUAGCAGGUCCCUGGUCUUUGGAUGAUGAGAGGGCAUGUAUUGCUGGGACAUCCUGAACAAAGGGUCUUUUCUCCAAGGAUGAGAAAUGUAACUAAGCUACUACAUACAAAAAAAAAAAAAAAAAAAAAAAAAAAAAAAAAAAAUAGAAAUGUAAACAAAAUGAGAUGACAAAGGAAUAUGGUCCAGAUGGAGGAACAAGGCAAAAUCCAAGAACAACAACUAAGUGAUGUGGAAAUAGGCUAUCUACAUGAGAAGGGUUCAGAGUAAUGAUUGUAAAGAUGAUACAAGAACUCAGGAAAAGAAUGAUGCAUAAAGCAAGAGGUUACAAUAAUUUUUUUCAAAGAACUAGAAAAUUUAAAGAAUAUAAGAAGUGAGGGAGUUCCCAUCAUGGCUCAGUGGU
Molecule: non-coding RNA, 4016 nt
Organism: Sus scrofa (pig)
Lineage: Eukaryota; Metazoa; Chordata; Mammalia; Artiodactyla; Suidae
Source: RefSeq, a predicted model, not a curated record